RNAcentral lists this small RNA (120 nucleotides) under Marmota monax (woodchuck). The record is from RNAcentral. Lineage: Eukaryota; Metazoa; Chordata; Mammalia; Rodentia; Sciuridae.
GCAGGGUGUAGUGGUGCACACCUGUAAUCCCAGCAUCUUGGGAGGCUGAGGCAGGAGGAUCUCGAGUUCAAAACCAGCCUCAGGAAAAGCGAGGCACUAUGCGGUGAGACCCUGUUUCUA